This 253-nucleotide ribosomal RNA is filed under the name uncultured bacterium. RNAcentral describes it as "partial 16S ribosomal RNA". It matches the Rfam family "Bacterial small subunit ribosomal RNA", at positions 524 to 776 of the family's 1533-position model. The record is from RNAcentral.
UACAAAGGUUGCUAGCGUUGCUCGGAAUCACUGGGCGUAAAGGGUGCGUAGGCGGGUCUUUAAGUCAGGGGUGAAAUCCUGGAGCUCAACUCCAGAACUGCCUUUGAUACUGAGGAUCUUGAGUUCGGGAGAGGUGAGUGGAACUGCGAGUGUAGAGGUGAAAUUCGUAGAUAUUCGCAAGAACACCAGUGGCGAAGGCGGCUCACUGGACCGAUACUGACGCUGAGGCACGAAAGCGUGGGGAGCAAACAGG